GAGAGAGAGAGAGAGAGAGAGAGAGAGAGAGAGAGAGAGAGAGAGAGAGACACAGAGUGAGUGAGUGAGAGCCAGAGUGAGAGAAAGACAGAAAGAGACAGACAGCUGGACACAGCUGACAUUCUUCUAGUGUGAGACUUGUUCUUGUGGAACCAACUCCUGUGUUUCUCUAAGAACCAACAUCUGUCCGACUCUCUUUCUACUAAUCUCUCUCUCUACUAAUCUGUCUGUUUCUCUUCAUUCAACCAUGUCUCUUUAUUACUUUGACUUUGAUGAGACUUUUGACUCUCUUUCUAUUUAUCUGUCCGUCUCUUUAUUCCACUUGCUCUCUCUUAAUUUCUCUCUUUUUCUAUUAAUCUGUCUAUUCAUGUCUGUCUCUUUCCCUUAGCCCGUCUAUUUAUUUAUUUAUUUAUUUAUUUCUCUCUCUUUUCAUUAACCCGUGUCUGUCUUUCUAUUAAUCUCCCUGUUCCUCUUUCGGUUGACCUGUCCUCUCUCUCUUCCUUUUUAUCGGUCUGUUUCUCCCUCAUUCUCUUUCGAUCAUUCUACAAUUGUUCCCUUUCUGUUCUUUUUUUUUCUUCUUCAUUUGCUUGUUGCUCUGUCUCUCUUUCUGACUGAAUCUGUCUGCCCCCCCCGUCACUCCCUUGGCUCUCUCAUUUCGUAGCCGUCUCGGUCACAGUGUAUUUAUCUUAUAUUUAUAAUCCGUAUCUCUCUCUCUCAUCCUCUUUCUGUCCUUCUCUCUCAUUCUAGUCCUUAUACAUUCUCUUCUAACAAUCUAGACAACUUUAAAAUGCUAAAGAUCAACGUCAACAUGGCUCUCUCUCCACACACACACACACACACACACACACACACACUUAGUAGAAAAAAAUCCCAAACAGCUAACUCCUCUCCCAUUUUCUGUUUCUUUCUCUCACCUUAAGCGGAGCACCGUCCUCAAGGAGCCAUUCUCCACGUUUACCCCACACACUCACACACACACACACACACACACACACACAGACACAGAGAGAGACACACACACAGAGAGAGAGACACACACAUACAGAGAGAGACACACACACACAGAGAGAGACACACACAGAGAGAGAGAGAGACACACACACAAGAGAGAGAGACACACACACACAGAGAGAGAGAGACACACCACAGAGAGAGAGAGACACACACACACACACAUACAGAGAGAGACACACACAC
Ictalurus punctatus (channel catfish) is the source of this 1197-nucleotide long non-coding RNA. Lineage: Eukaryota; Metazoa; Chordata; Actinopteri; Siluriformes; Ictaluridae. The record is from Ensembl.